AGGGAACAGUUUGAUCCAAAAGUUUUCACAGAUGCAAAUUCCUUGAUGCCGUAGACAUCGGAUGCAGAUCAGCAUUCUAUCUCUCUCAGUCUUGACAUAGAUUCUGCAGUUGUAGCAAGAAAUCUCUGUUUUGGCUUGCUGCUUGGUCCACUUUUUAGGUGUUCUUAGGUAGGAAAAACAAGCCACAGUAUGGAUUUGUGAUAUUUGUUAGACAACAGGUCAACAGCAACAAUAACGUCGUCGCUGUCUGUUGAGGAACAAUGGCAAGAGGCACACUGCAAACAAGGAUACAGUUCAGGAAAAACAUCUCUGCACCAACCAGGAGAAUAUCAGUGGGAGCAGUGUCCAGAAAGGCAGCCGCUUAUGGCUCGGCGGCAUAUAGGCUCCAGACGACGCACCUCAUCUCGCUCACUGGUCGCUGGUCGAUUUAUCCUGCAUAAUCGGUGAUUUUGGUGCUGGUCUGUGGUGUCACAAAUGUCUAGCACCUUACUGAACACUGCGUGCAGUGAGGGAGAAGUUAUGUUCUCGAACGUCUAGUGUAGAGACCAGAGUGGUUCCAUCUACGAGCUUGCUUUUCUUCCAUGUACGAGAGUUCCCUUCUGUACUAGGCACGUUUUUGUUAGUGUUCUAGUGUGUGUGUGGCGCGCGCGUGUGUGUGAAUUCAUGUAGAUUUUACCUGUAUUCUUAACUUAAUUUUACUGACAAGUUCUGUCACCUGUUACCUCUGUG
This 729-nucleotide ribosomal RNA is filed under the name Triticum aestivum (bread wheat). Its description in RNAcentral is "partial small subunit ribosomal RNA". The record is from RNAcentral. Lineage: Eukaryota; Viridiplantae; Streptophyta; Magnoliopsida; Poales; Poaceae.